Molecule: non-coding RNA, 72 nt
Organism: Phrynosoma platyrhinos (Desert horned lizard)
Lineage: Eukaryota; Metazoa; Chordata; Lepidosauria; Squamata; Phrynosomatidae
Source: the annotation of a GenBank genome assembly
GCCAGUGUGGCACAGUGGUUUGAGUGUUAGACUACAACUUUAAUGACCAGGGUUCAAUUCCCAGCUCAGCCA